UGUUUAUCAAAAACAUGUCUUUUUGAAAAUAAUAUAAAGUCUAACCUGCCCCCUGAUAAUUUAUUAAAGGGCCGCGGUAUAUUGACUGUGCAAAGGUAGCAUAAUCAUUUGUCUUUUAAUUGAAGGCUAGAAUGAAUGGUUGAAUGAAAUAUUAACUGUCUCAUUUUUAAAAAAUUAAAAACUUAGCUUUUUAGUUAAAAGGUUAAAAUAAAUUUAGAGGACGAGAAGACCCUAUAAAUCUUUAUAUUAAAUUAUUUUUUAUAAAAUAGAAAAAUAUUAAAUAAAAUUUAUUUUAAUAUUUUAUUGGGGUGAUAGGAAAAUUAAAAAAACUUUUCAUAAUAAUUAAACAUAAAUUAAUGAAUAAUUGAUCCAUUUUUAGUGAUUAUAAAAUUAAGUUACUUUAGGGAUAACAGCGUAAUUUUUUUGAAGAGUUCAUAUCGAUAAAAAAGAUUGCGACCUCGAUGUUGAAUUAAAGGUUAUUUCUAGAUGCAGAAGUUUAGAGUUUAGGUCUGUUCGACCUUUAAAUCUUUACAUGAUCUGAGUUCAAACCGG
This 552-nucleotide ribosomal RNA is filed under the name Asthenochrysa viridula. Its description in RNAcentral is "partial large subunit ribosomal RNA". It matches the Rfam family "Bacterial large subunit ribosomal RNA", at positions 1801 to 2619 of the family's 2925-position model. The record is from RNAcentral. Lineage: Eukaryota; Metazoa; Arthropoda; Insecta; Neuroptera; Chrysopidae.